Eremothecium sinecaudum is the source of this 226-nucleotide small nuclear RNA. NCBI's taxonomy places the organism in Eukaryota, Fungi, Ascomycota, Saccharomycetes, Saccharomycetales, Saccharomycetaceae. The record is from RefSeq and is a predicted model, not a curated record.
AACGCAAAUUUCACAGCCACUCGUAACACGUACAGCAUCUCCUUGAGGUUGGAUCCCCCCGGGGCAUUCUAGACCCAUUAAAAGUGUAGAUAUGUGUCACCUCUAGUUAUGCUUGGACUGGAGAAUAAAGUUACUGGUCUUGGGUGCAGCGGUCCAUCUGUUGCUUGGCCUCGAGUCAAGUCAAAGGGUUAACCUUCGUGUGCCCGUAUGGGGACCGGUGCAAGGA